This 352-nucleotide ribosomal RNA is filed under the name Physarum album. RNAcentral describes it as "SSU rRNA". It matches the Rfam family "Eukaryotic small subunit ribosomal RNA", at positions 116 to 405 of the family's 1831-position model. Lineage: Eukaryota; Evosea; Eumycetozoa; Physariida; Physaraceae. The record is from RNAcentral.
GGCCUAGGAUUGCCCGCCUUCGGGUGGUCUUUUCUAGGUCUGGAUAUCGUAUAAACUUGGUAAUUCUUAGGCUAAUACGAUAAGUUUACCACCUAGCCUACCGGGCAACCGGGAACGUUAGGGGUCGUGCAAAGCUUCUGCUACGCUCGAUUGGGUGAUUCCGUACACGAUCAGACCGCUACACCAAACUCAGGUGGCUCAGCCAGUACCUUCGGGGAACGCUGUGUCAUUUGGGGGCGGCUCUCGCUCGUGCCUCUGACCUAUCAACUGCACAGCAGCUUAUAGGACAUGCUAUGGUUACUACGGGUACAGAGGAUAAGGGUUCGAUCCUGGAGAGUGGGCCUGAGAGAUU